CAUGAAGCUGGAAUUGCUAGUAAUGGCAGGUCAGCAUACUGCCGUGAAUACGUUCCCGGGCCUUGUACACACCGCCCGUCACACCAUGAGAGUUGGAAAUACCCGAAGCCUGUGAGCUAACAGUAAUGAGGCAGCAGUCGAAGGUAGAGCCAAUGAUUGGGGUGAAGUCGUAACAAGGUACC
Molecule: ribosomal RNA, 182 nt
Filed under: uncultured bacterium
Lineage: Bacteria
Description: partial 16S ribosomal RNA
Rfam family: Bacterial small subunit ribosomal RNA
Source: RNAcentral